Molecule: ribosomal RNA, 501 nt
Filed under: uncultured bacterium
Lineage: Bacteria
Description: partial 16S ribosomal RNA
Rfam family: Bacterial small subunit ribosomal RNA
Source: RNAcentral
AUUGAACACUGGCGGCAUGCCUUACACAUGCAAGUCGAACGGCAGCACGGGUGCUUGCACCUGGUGGCGAGUGGCGAACGGGUGAGUAAUAUAUCGGAACGUACCUUAUUGUGGGGGAUAACGCAGCGAAAGCUGUGCUAAUACCGCAUAAUCCCUACGGGGGAAAGCGGGGGACCGUAAGGCCUCGCGCAAUUAGAGCGGCCGAUACCUGAUUAGCUAGUUGGUGAGGUAAAGGCUCACCAAGGCAACGAUCAGUAGCUGGUCUGAGAGGACGAUCAGCCACACUGGGACUGAGACACGGCCCAGACUCCUACGGGAGGCAGCAGUGGGGAAUUUUGGACAAUGGGGGCAACCCUGAUCCAGCAAUGCCGCGUGAGUGAAGAAGGCCUUCGGGUUGUAAAGCUCUUUUGUCAGGGAAGAAACAGCAGCUCUAACACAGUAUGCGAAUGACGGUACCUGAAGAAUAAGCACCGGCUAACUACGUGCCAGCCGCCGCCGUAA